GUCGGCGUAGCUCAGACGGUUAGAGCACUCGGCUCAUAAUCGAGUGGUCGUCGGUUCGAGUCCGACCGCCGACACCA
This 77-nucleotide transfer RNA is filed under the name Acidimicrobiales bacterium. RNAcentral describes it as "tRNA-Met". It matches the Rfam family "tRNA". Rfam says of the family: Transfer RNA (tRNA) molecules are approximately 80 nucleotides in length. Their secondary structure includes four short double-helical elements and three loops (D, anti-codon, and T loops). The record is from RNAcentral. RNAcentral also lists the same sequence under 3 other names. Lineage: Bacteria; Bacillati; Actinomycetota; Acidimicrobiia; Acidimicrobiales.